CAAUAGCGUAUAUUAAAGCUGUUGCGGUUAAAAAGCUCGUAGUUGGAUUUCUGUCAAGGACAACUGGUCCGCCCUCCGGGUGAGCACAUAGUUUGGUCUUGGCAUCUUGCUGGAAACUGUUGCUGCACUUGGCUGUGUGGCGCAGCGUCCAGCACUUUCACUUUGAGGAAAUUGGAGUGUUUCAAGCAGGCACAUGCCUUUGGACACAGUAGCAUGGAAUAAUUAGAUUGGGCUUUUGCUCCAAUUUGUCGGUUCCUGGAGCUGAGGUGAGAAUUAAUGGGGAUUGUUGGGGGCAUCCGAAUUUAGCCGUCAGAGGUGAAAUUCUUGGAUCUGCUAAAGACGGACAACUGCGAAAGCGUUUGCCCAGGAUGUUUUCAUUGA
RNAcentral lists this ribosomal RNA (381 nucleotides) under uncultured eukaryote. RNAcentral's name for it is "partial 18S ribosomal RNA". It matches the Rfam family "Eukaryotic small subunit ribosomal RNA", at positions 592 to 976 of the family's 1831-position model. The record is from RNAcentral.